This 1554-nucleotide ribosomal RNA is filed under the name Staphylococcus aureus. Its description in RNAcentral is "16S ribosomal RNA". It matches the Rfam family "Bacterial small subunit ribosomal RNA". Lineage: Bacteria; Bacillati; Bacillota; Bacilli; Caryophanales; Staphylococcaceae. The record is from RNAcentral.
UUUAUGGAGAGUUUGAUCCUGGCUCAGGAUGAACGCUGGCGGCGUGCCUAAUACAUGCAAGUCGAGCGAACGGACGAGAAGCUUGCUUCUCUGAUGUUAGCGGCGGACGGGUGAGUAACACGUGGAUAACCUACCUAUAAGACUGGGAUAACUUCGGGAAACCGGAGCUAAUACCGGAUAAUAUUUUGAACCGCAUGGUUCAAAAGUGAAAGACGGUCUUGCUGUCACUUAUAGAUGGAUCCGCGCUGCAUUAGCUAGUUGGUAAGGUAACGGCUUACCAUGGCAACGAUGCAUAGCCGACCUGAGAGGGUGAUCGGCCACACUGGAACUGAGACACGGUCCAGACUCCUACGGGAGGCAGCAGUAGGGAAUCUUCCGCAAUGGGCGAAAGCCUGACGGAGCAACGCCGCGUGAGUGAUGAAGGUCUUCGGAUCGUAAAACUCUGUUAUUAGGGAAGAACAUAUGUGUAAGUAACUGUGCACAUCUUGACGGUACCUAAUCAGAAAGCCACGGCUAACUACGUGCCAGCAGCCGCGGUAAUACGUAGGUGGCAAGCGUUAUCCGGAAUUAUUGGGCGUAAAGCGCGCGUAGGCGGUUUUUUAAGUCUGAUGUGAAAGCCCACGGCUCAACCGUGGAGGGUCAUUGGAAACUGGAAAACUUGAGUGCAGAAGAGGAAAGUGGAAUUCCAUGUGUAGCGGUGAAAUGCGCAGAGAUAUGGAGGAACACCAGUGGCGAAGGCGACUUUCUGGUCUGUAACUGACGCUGAUGUGCGAAAGCGUGGGGAUCAAACAGGAUUAGAUACCCUGGUAGUCCACGCCGUAAACGAUGAGUGCUAAGUGUUAGGGGGUUUCCGCCCCUUAGUGCUGCAGCUAACGCAUUAAGCACUCCGCCUGGGGAGUACGACCGCAAGGUUGAAACUCAAAGGAAUUGACGGGGACCCGCACAAGCGGUGGAGCAUGUGGUUUAAUUCGAAGCAACGCGAAGAACCUUACCAAAUCUUGACAUCCUUUGACAACUCUAGAGAUAGAGCCUUCCCCUUCGGGGGACAAAGUGACAGGUGGUGCAUGGUUGUCGUCAGCUCGUGUCGUGAGAUGUUGGGUUAAGUCCCGCAACGAGCGCAACCCUUAAGCUUAGUUGCCAUCAUUAAGUUGGGCACUCUAAGUUGACUGCCGGUGACAAACCGGAGGAAGGUGGGGAUGACGUCAAAUCAUCAUGCCCCUUAUGAUUUGGGCUACACACGUGCUACAAUGGACAAUACAAAGGGCAGCGAAACCGCGAGGUCAAGCAAAUCCCAUAAAGUUGUUCUCAGUUCGGAUUGUAGUCUGCAACUCGACUACAUGAAGCUGGAAUCGCUAGUAAUCGUAGAUCAGCAUGCUACGGUGAAUACGUUCCCGGGUCUUGUACACACCGCCCGUCACACCACGAGAGUUUGUAACACCCGAAGCCGGUGGAGUAACCUUUUAGGAGCUAGCCGUCGAAGGUGGGACAAAUGAUUGGGGUGAAGUCGUAACAAGGUAGCCGUAUCGGAAGGUGCGGCUGGAUCACCUCCUUUCU